RNAcentral lists this small nuclear RNA (132 nucleotides) under Neogale vison (American mink). RNAcentral's name for it is "Neovison vison (American mink) U4 spliceosomal RNA (ENSNVIG00000009092.1)". It matches the Rfam family "U4 spliceosomal RNA". Rfam says of the family: U4 small nuclear RNA (U4 snRNA) is a component of the major U2-dependent spliceosome. The structure of U4 snRNA from yeast and human has been reported. The record is from Rfam by way of RNAcentral. Lineage: Eukaryota; Metazoa; Chordata; Mammalia; Carnivora; Mustelidae.
AGCUUUGCGCAGUGGCAGUAUCGUAGCCAAUGAGGUUUAUCCGAGGCGCGAUUAUUGCUAAUUGAAAAAAUGCUGAAUUUUAUUUUGAUUAACAAUUAAGCUUAGAAAUGAUUUCUUUAAUCUCUGUGGAGA